GAGUGCGAAUUAUCGAAUAUGUCUUCUUAAUCAAUUGCUACUUUGCUACUCGUUCUAAACCCUCACUUCCGCGAAGGAAAACAAACCGAUCGCCGAUACGAUUCCAAUGCAUAUCCAACAGCUACAUCUCAAGGCCGAAGAACUACAAUCUCGACCUUCCAGGUAUUCUUCCGUGAAUCGAAAUCACAUAAAUUUUCGGAAGUAAAGUGUCCAUCAUUUACUUGAUCUGUUACACAACACAUCGAUCUACAUUGUUUGAGAUAAUUUCUUAUAAUUACAACAUAACAUUUUAUAUCUUAAUAUACUGCAAGUCAUUGUAAGCCACUAAUCUCGAUUUUGCUUUGAACCGAAAAAAUCAAUUUUUGGUCCUUAAUUCAUUUUGAUUCAUGGUUUAUAACUCCUAAAUCUCAUUGACCCUAUAAAUGUUACUUAUCGAUACCAAAUUCAACCACAGCAGGCAUGACAAACUCCAGUGAAGCUUGAUAUCUGUCACAGAGAAACUAGAGUCAGGUCUACCCAUGGGAAGUACUAUCUUACAGGUAAAUGUCAAUAUUCUGAUCAUCAAUUAAUUGACUAUUAUCUUUGCUGAAUUUUUUGAGAUUCAUUGGUCUUCUAGCAUCCUGAUAAAGGUAGUAGGGAGCAUACUAGGUAACUUUUUAGUUUAUUUUUAUAUGUGAAUAAAAAGUAAGCUGAAUAGAAGUCUAGAAUAUAUAACUUUUAGUGUCAAAUAUAUGCCAUUCAAGUAUUCAACCAUGUGGUAGUCAUUAUUGGAAUCUAAAAAAGCUGUUACUUCCCUUUUUGGAUGCUCCUCAAGUCCAUAUAGGCCAGUGAUGUUUUGUCAGUAGAUAUGUCGAUAUUGCACUUAUGGUGCAUACUGUCUCCUUGAUUCCAGCCCUAGAGUUUUAACUGGAGUUUCAUCAAAAUCAUAAUGAAAUUUCCUGCAGUAAAUAGUAAUCUACUAUUCAAUCAAAGACAUAAAGUUCAUAUAAAGGUUUCCAUUUCACCAACAUUAUGUGGUUCAACUUCUCAAUCAUUAUUACUAUAAAGAUUCCAAUUCCACCUAUUUUUUGUUCAAGUUUUUCUUUUUUUCAGUGACAACUUUUUAAAGAUAACACACUAAUUAAUAUGCAAAUGACUAUAGAAUUAUGAUCCUUUUGGAAUUUCGAAAAUAGUACCAGUGAUGAAGCUCAAUUGUCUAUCCAUAAACUCAUGAAACUUGAUUCCAAUCCUUGUUAACUUGUAUAAAUGACUGAAAUACCCUUUCGAAACCUAUUAUUAACACUGCACUAUGCUG
This 1294-nucleotide long non-coding RNA is filed under the name Lactuca sativa (garden lettuce). RNAcentral describes it as "long non-coding RNA (LSAT_LNC000608)". Lineage: Eukaryota; Viridiplantae; Streptophyta; Magnoliopsida; Asterales; Asteraceae. The record is from RNAcentral.